Poecilia latipinna (sailfin molly) is the source of this 921-nucleotide long non-coding RNA. RefSeq lists it as uncharacterized. The record is from RefSeq and is a predicted model, not a curated record. The transcript is spliced from 2 exons. Lineage: Eukaryota; Metazoa; Chordata; Actinopteri; Cyprinodontiformes; Poeciliidae.
CUCAGUGAAUCUCCUCUUCACGCAUCCUGCUGCCGUGAUGAAAGAGCUAUUGUGCUGGGUGGCCUCCUGAAUAAGCUGCUUUCAUGAGGAGCCUCCACAAUCAGGGUUAAAGGUAGGAGUCCAGACGGGAGGUUUUCCCAUCUCAGCCGUCUGUCAUAAGUAGCUCCAGCUGUCCUCCUCGCCAUGUCUCAGGCGCCAACAGGUAUUUUCGUCACCAGAUUGCCAAACCAUUGGACCAUCUACUCUACAACACCCAAGGUGACCUUUAGCAAAAUACAGAACGGUGUACGGCGGAGAGGAAAGGGUUAUUGGAAACACUGCAGAGCUGGAAUGUAGCACCAGCUGAAUGAAUUGUGAUAGAUAUUUUUUUCCUCAUGCCACCUUUUAUUGUUCAGAAAUAAUCCAACAGAAACUAUAACCUUUUUUCUGCAGCAUAGUCUCAUUUGUGAAGAACUGAAACAACAACAAAAUCCAUACUAUUCUCUCUCUUUCUUUUUUUUUUUUUAAGAGUCUAGGAUUCACUUCAAUUUUUGGAAACUGAAUAAAUUAAUUUAUGUUCCCAGAUGCAACAUUUCUACCUUUUUCAGGUAUAGACCUGCAAAACAAUUCUCUCACCUCAUAAAAUUGUUAAAAAUAAGUGCUUACCAGUGUAAAAAUAUAAGAAAAUAAUGGCAAGAUUCUAGGAAUAGAAAAAGUAUUCACACCCCUUGAACAUCUUUACAUUUUAGUUUAUUCUAUUGUGAUUUCACGAUAGACCCAAACAAAGAAAAUGCACAACUGUAAAGGAAAAUAAAUGUUCUAUGAUCUUCAAAGUCUGACAUAUAUUUGUGUUCAGCCAAGUUAUCCUGGGACAUGGUGGUAGCAGCAUCAUACUGUGGGGUCAAAGUUGAUGUGAAGAUGGAUAGAGCUAAACAGAGACUG